CUUUACGGAUUCCUCACUUCUCUGGCCACAUUUUCCUACAGCUCUCACUGCUCUGGGAGUUUUCAUUGGCACAAGACAGAGAACAGCUGAGCCUGCAGCUUCUAUUGUCACAACUCUUUGACCAGCAGAACCGGAGAAAACUAUACCUGACAGGACUCCUUCCAAAAGAUUCAGCAUCAAUUUCACCCCAGCAUUUUCCCCAGACUACAGAACCAAGUAUUCCUGCUGCAUCUUUACCGUUACACCUAAAGAUACUGUAUGUCUCUGCAAGUCUUCCGGGAAGCCUGGAGCACAAGCCACUGUUUUCUUCACUGAGGGGCUUGCGUGAGUGGAGAAGAAAGAAGGCUGAUCAUCCCCUGAUCCCUACACUUCCAGAAAAGUGGAUUCCAUCCUGGCAACUAAAAUGAUGGCAGAAUCCAGACUCUUCAGAACCAGGAGCAGCAAGGCCUCAAGAAGACCCAGAUAUUAGUGCCAUCUUCCUCACUAUCUAUUCAGCCCUGCGAAAAAUGCACUUCACUUAUUUGACCCUUGGCUUCCUCAACUGCCUCACGAAGGUUGAAUUACAGUUUCUACUGGCUUUUAGGAAUUAAGAGCAGGUGAGUGUAGGAAUUGCAACCUCAGUGCCUUGCAGAGUACCCCUGAACAUGAGACAUGCUUACAAAGUAAUGUUUCCUGGUGUAUUCUUCAUCUCCUGUCUCCUCGGCUCGGUCUGCCUAUACGCCCUCUUCCAUAGGUGUCUUUGAGUCAGUGUGGUAUUGUGGCACCACAGCUUGGG
RNAcentral lists this long non-coding RNA (775 nucleotides) under Callithrix jacchus (white-tufted-ear marmoset). Its description in RNAcentral is "lncRNA (ENSCJAG00000081178.1)". Lineage: Eukaryota; Metazoa; Chordata; Mammalia; Primates; Cebidae. The record is from RNAcentral.